RNAcentral lists this ribosomal RNA (465 nucleotides) under uncultured bacterium. RNAcentral's name for it is "partial 16S ribosomal RNA". It matches the Rfam family "Bacterial small subunit ribosomal RNA", at positions 28 to 507 of the family's 1533-position model. The record is from RNAcentral.
GACGAACGCUGGCGGCGUGCUUAACACAUGCAAGUCGAACGGAAAGGCCCCUUUGGGGGUCCUCGAGUGGCGAACGGGUGAGUAACACGUGAGUAACCUGCCCUUGACUUCGGGAUAACUUCAGGAAACUGGGGCUAAUACCGGAUAGGAAUCCUUGCUGCAUGGUGGGGGUUGGAAAGCUUCGGCGGUUUUGGAUGGACUCACGGCUUAUCAGCUUGUUGGUGGGGUAGUGGCUUACCAAGGCUUUGACGGGUAGCCGGCCUGAGAGGGCGACCGGCCACAUUGGGACUGAGAUACGGCCCAGACUCCUACGGGAGGCAGCAGUGGGGAAUAUUGCACAAUGGGCGGAAGCCUGAUGCAGCAACGCCGCGUGCGGGAUGACGGCCUUCGGGUUGUAAACCGCUUUCAGCAGGGGCGAAGCUUGUGGUGACGGUACCUGCAGAAGAAGCACCGGCUAACUACGUG